This 446-nucleotide ribosomal RNA is filed under the name uncultured bacterium. RNAcentral's name for it is "partial 16S ribosomal RNA". It matches the Rfam family "Bacterial small subunit ribosomal RNA", at positions 330 to 792 of the family's 1533-position model. The record is from RNAcentral.
GCCAGACUCCUACGGGAGGCAGCAGUGGGGAAUAUUGCACAAUGGGGGAAACCCUGAUGCAGCAACGCCGCGUGAGUGAAGAAGUAUUUCGGUAUGUAAAGCUCUAUCAGCAGGGAAGAAGAAGGACGGUACCUGAAGAAGAAGCCCCGGCUAACUACGUGCCAGCAGCCGCGGUAAUACGUAGGGGGCAAGCGUUAUCCGGAUUUACUGGGUGUAAAGGGGGCGCAGACGGCGAUGCAAGCCAGGAGUGAAAGCCCGGGGCCCAACCCCGGGACUGCUCUUGGAACUGCGUGGCUGGAGUGCAGGAGGGGCAGGCGGAAUUCCUGGUGUAGCGGUGAAAUGCGUAGAUAUCAGGAGGAACACCGGUGGCGAAGGCGGCUUACUGGACCAUAACUGACGUUGAGGCUCGAAAGCGUGGGGAGCGAACGGGAUUAGAUACCCUAGUA